CUUUCCCUUUGAGGUCAUACUUCCAACCGUGCCAUCAAACAUACCUAUGAACAAACAAAUGAUUGGAUACUUCUUUGUAUUUUAUCAUUGUUGCACUGUCUUACUAACACAUUAUUACAAAAGGAGUAACGUGCCAAUAGGGAUCGAACCACAUCUUGCUCAUGACACGGGUUCGGAACGCCGAGACAUGCUGGGAAGUUAACAGGCUUGGCAGCUUCACGUCACGAUCCUGAGUGCAGUAAUAUUUCGGACGUCGCUGGAGACUGAGGUGUAAUAAUGGAGACUGACGUGAGAGCGGGUCGUGGUGGUGUUCUAGAUAUGGCUGAGUGGACAGAACAGCAGUUGCCACUUUCCAACAAAGGAAUGUCAAAAAUGGCUCAUUGUGGCUUUUAUCCAUCCAAAAACUUUGCAUUCCCACCAGGCCUCUAUGCUUGUUGGCUAUAGUGAAAUACAUAGAGGAUGGGAGUAUUGACUGAAACUGCAAAUUUACCGGCAAAUGAUUGUGAAAUAAUUGGCAUUUACAUUGUCAACAACCCUCUCAUACUCAUAUCAGCUUGAAGACCUUGAUAGUUCAAAGUUAUGUCAACGCUGAAAAUGACGAUACUAAACACAACUAAAGCAAACUUAUGAUUACACGGACUUUUAUGAAUAUAACGUUGACUAUAGUAGUAUUGUUACAGGUGCGCGAAGACUUGAGAGGAACAAAUCCUGAGUGGAAGGGCGAGAGAGGGCAACCAAUAAAGUUAAAAGACUCAAGGAAGUAUUAACGACCCCAAUGGAUUGAACCGCACCAUUUGCACGCGUUGAAUAAAAUACCCAGACCCGAGCAAAGCGCGAAGCCCGGAAAGAUUGUUUACAUUUUGCGCUCCUUACCAAUAAAGUAUGGAGUCAUCUGGUGACGAAGCGGAAGGUAUUCGGAUCAUUAGGGCUCCGAGUCAGGUGAUCAUCAAGACAGAAAGGCCCGAGUCCACAAAGGCCUGGGGACGAUUGGGCCAUUGGUCACUUUGUACCCAAACAACUUAGUUCCCAAAAUGUUUCAACACUGAGGGGUCUUGAAGUGCGAAGAAAAUUGAUAAACGAUUGGAGAAGGUAGGGAAUAGUGUUAUAAGAAUAGUCGAGUAAGGAUGAUACGAUAGCAUAGAUUGGAGUGAAGGCAUUGCAUUGUCAUUCAGGUCAUUGCAUUGCAGGUCAUGCACUGGAAAACAGAAGAUUCAGAGAACAGAUGGUGGUUAAUGUUGGCAUAGUAAUGAAAGAAAAGAAAAGUGAAGCCUAAGUGAGAUAAAGCUAAGCAGUGACUAGGAGAGCAAACCUGGAAUGACGUAGGAUAGGAUUAAAGGAAGUCAGGAAGAGAAUAGAAGAAAAUGGUAGAACCAGGUGUAAAAUGCGAAUGGGAUACUAGUGAAUUUUGAAGUGCUACAGAGGGAAGAUAGGCGCAAGACACUGUAAUAGUGCACAAAGGGACUGGGGAAGCAGGUUUUAAGUGAUGGCAUGCUUUGGCACACUGCAGAGAAAGGCCGGGGGCAAAGGUGAGCAGGACCUAAGUUGCGGCUUCUGUACUCCGGGUCAGGGAGACAAGAAGGCAUUUCAUGGUUGAGUGUAGGGAGUAUGAGCAGCGUGGAAGCAAAUUUAUAGAAUCCAUAGGCCAAAUAAUGCGAGUAGAGGAAUGGCACAAAAGGGUUAAGGAAAGAUGGGGCAUUUGCAGAACGUUAGGACUAUGUACGCGGAAGGAAAGGUAUAGAACAAAGUCUACAUGUACAAAGUAAGGUCACAAGAGUUGUCAGCAGUGCUAGUCAAUUUUGAACUCAACCUUGCCUGAGGAACCAAAUCCAACCCCUUCCACUCACAUAUCAAGAGCAGGAGUGACAGCAAGGUGGUGGUGAUACCACUGCAGAGUGAGAAUAGUCAGCUUACAGAUCUGGACCAAGAAGCAUGUGAACUCUUGAUGGAAUAAUUUGAAAAGGUAUUCAUUAAAGAAGGCAGACAACUAUUACCUACUACAGAUGUCUUUAGGGUAUUCAUUAGAGGACUUAAAUGCUUCCAAAGCUAUGUAGUAUAUUUUGUGUGACUUCAAAUUUUUGUAGUGAGGAUGAGAUUGCUCCAUAAACCUCACAUCCAUAGUCUAACCAACUCCAGAUAUGAGAAUUAAAGUGAAGGAGGGUAUGCUUGUCUGUAUCCCACUUGAUGGGAAAUUUGAACACAUACCUAACCCCAGACAUACCUACUGCUAUAAAUGCUACAAAUGCUGUAGCCUUCACUUAUUCAGGACACCUUUUUUCACCAUCCCUCCCUCCUUGGCCUGCUUGCAGAAUCAUGUUUCUUCCUAGGAAACAUUAUAAUUUUUGCAAUGGAUCAAUGUCUUCAUAAUGUGAUCACUCAGAACUGACCCAUAUUCAUUUUUAACAACUGCCCCCCACAUUACACUUUUACACCUCAUCCACUCUUGUCAUAGUGCUUCAUGAUCUUAGAUAUCUGGCAAGUUUUAUUCCAUUAAGUAAUGUCAGGCUUACUUGAUGGUAGUUUUAAAAUGUUUUUCCUUGAAAUGUUCUUUGGUUAUGCAUGUCAUUAACACACUUUCAUUGACAUGAAUGCAUUUUGCAAUGAAUGUCAAUUUCUUGUUGGUUUGUUGUAUAGUUGCCUUACCACUAUUUCUGAUAUGGAAGUCUUUGUUUCCUGUUGAAGUGAGGCUUUACCAAGGAGUGUAAAGGAUGAAGGAAGACUGCUCAGUAAUUCUCAGAUGUUGUAAUAGUGGCAUCAUCUAUUGAGCAAAACCAUUUUUCACAAACUAGGAAGCUUUCAGGACUACUGGUGUAUUGUUCUAGUUGUGAAGAUGUUCAUUUAAUUUUUUUUUUUACAUCAGCAUAUAAAUGGGAGAGUAAUUUCAAAGCUUUUGCAUAUUUUAUUAGUGGUAGACUACAGACAGAAUUAAAUCACAAUUUUUCAAUCACUGCUGCUAAUAAAAUAGAACAGCUAACGGCUGCAUUUCUGAAAAUAGUUUCCAACAAGCAAAAAACAUUUGCACUUGAUGCAGUGUUGCAUCUUUUGCCAUCAUGCCAAACGCCAGAAUACAUCACAAGAAUAGUUAUAAAGCAAUACAUACAGCUAGUACAUGUUAGCAGUAAUAAAGCAAUAACAGAACUUAAACAGCACAACACAGCAGCAGUGACAAAGUAAUACAUGCACCUAUUAAUUUAAUAACACAACACCAUUGCUGUGAGAAAGGAAUACAUGCACUUACACAGUACAGCAGCAGUGCCAAAGUAGUACAUGCAUUUUGCACACACUGACAUAUAGCUUUUAGUCAGAAGUAGAGGUGGCAGCAGCUGUUAAAAUUACAUACACAAUUUGAGGGGUUAGGCAAAUAGAACAAGCACAGGAACAGAACAUAAAACAGCCGUUACAUAUACAAGACCAUUACUUACUUU
Long non-coding RNA from Scylla paramamosain (green mud crab), 3422 nucleotides. RefSeq lists it as uncharacterized. The record is from RefSeq and is a predicted model, not a curated record. Lineage: Eukaryota; Metazoa; Arthropoda; Malacostraca; Decapoda; Portunidae. The transcript has 3 exons.